CCUACGGGUGGCAGCAGUGAGGAAUAUUGGGCAAUGGAGGCAACUCUGACCCAGCCAUGCCGCGUGAGUGAAGAAGGUUUUCGGAUUGUAAAGCUCUUUCGGAUGUGACGAUGAUGACGGUAGCAUCUAAAGAAGCCCCGGCUAACUUCGUGCCAGCAGCCGCGGUAAUACGUAGGGGGCAAGCGUUAUCCGGAUUUACUGGGUGUAAAGGGAGCGUAGACGGUUAUGUAAGUCUGGAGUGAAAGCCCGGGGCCCAACCCCGGGACUGCUUUGGAAACUGUGUAACUGGAGUACAGGAGGGGCAGGCGGAAUUCCUGGUGUAGCGGUGAAAUGCGUAGAUAUCAGGAGGAACACCGGCGGCGAAGGCGGCCUGCUGGACUGAAACUGACGUUGAGGCUCGAAAGCGUGGGGAGCAAACAGGAUUAGAUACCCUUGUAGUC
Molecule: ribosomal RNA, 440 nt
Filed under: uncultured bacterium
Lineage: Bacteria
Description: partial 16S ribosomal RNA
Rfam family: Bacterial small subunit ribosomal RNA
Source: RNAcentral